UACGUAGGGACCGAGCGUUGUCCGGAAUCAUUGGGCGUAAAGAGCGUGUAGGCGGCUUGCUAAGUCUUGCGUGAAAUCUCGGGGCUCAACCCCGAGCGGUCGUGGGAAACUGGCAGGCUAGAGUGCGGGAGAGGAGAAUGGAAUUCCUGGUGUAGCGGUGAAAUGCGCAGAUAUCAGGAAGAACACCCGUGGCGAAGGCGGUGCUCUGGGCCGGAACUGACGCUGAGGAGCGAAAGCGUGGGUAGCAAACAGG
Molecule: ribosomal RNA, 253 nt
Filed under: uncultured bacterium
Lineage: Bacteria
Description: partial 16S ribosomal RNA
Rfam family: Bacterial small subunit ribosomal RNA
Source: RNAcentral